AUAACGACUCUCGGCAACGGAUAUCUCGGCUCUCGCAUCGAUGAAGAACGCAGCGAAAUGCGAUACCUGGUGUGAAUUGCAGAAUCCCGUGAAUCAUCGAGUCUUUGAACGCAAGUUGCGCCCGAGGCCUUCUGGUCUAGGGCACGCCUGCCUGGGCGUCACA
Molecule: ribosomal RNA, 163 nt
Filed under: Psittacanthus acinarius
Lineage: Eukaryota; Viridiplantae; Streptophyta; Magnoliopsida; Santalales; Loranthaceae
Also listed under: 2 other names
Description: 5.8S ribosomal RNA
Rfam family: 5.8S ribosomal RNA
About the family: 5.8S ribosomal RNA (5.8S rRNA) is a component of the large subunit of the eukaryotic ribosome. It is transcribed by RNA polymerase I as part of the 45S precursor that also contains 18S and 28S rRNA.
Source: RNAcentral